AAGGGCACCACAAGAACGCGUGGAGCAUGUGGCUUAAUUUGACUCAACGCGGGAAAUCUUACCGGGCCCGGACACACUGAGGAUUGACAGGCAAUAUUAAAUACUACUCUAACUAUACUCUCGUAUAUGUUCUGUUGUAUUUAUGUUAAAUAUGCUAGUCCUUUCAUGAUUAUGUGAUAGGUGGUGCAUGGCCGUUCUUAGUUCGUGGAGUGAUCUGUCUGCUUAAUUGCGUUUCACUAAGGGCCUAUACAUUUACGUGUGUUGCGGCACUUUGACCCCUCUUAUUCACGUAAGAGCGCGUGUCUUAGUUUUUGCUUAGCUCGCACAAUUAGGUCCUGAAAGCAACGAACGUGACCGCAACCUCUUGUUGCCUUUUGAUACCAACGGUGCAUUUUGUUCACAUUCACUUUCGCUUGCGUUUGUGUAUUGUGUUGUAUUGUGCUGCAAAAAGGCUUUCUAAACUAGAGGGACCGCUGUUACUUUCUUAAACCAGAGGAAGGUUGCGGCAAUAACAGGUCUGUGAUGCCCUUAGAUGUUCCGGGCUGCACACGUGCUACAAUGAUUAUUGCAGUGAGCAUCUCAUUUUUGAUACACCGCAUGCGCGGGCCGCAUUUAUUUCAUAUGUUCCAUUCAUUUGGUUCUAUUGUUUUUAAGUGUGUUUUUGCUCUGCGCGCGGUAAAGCCUACUUCGACAGUAAGUGGGUAAUCAAUUAGAAGUAAUGAUUUCCUUAUUUUUAUAGCACACAUAUAUAUGGCAUUUAUGCCCGGGUUGUACUUUGUUGUAGCUUCUGUGCGUAUAGAUGUUGAAUACACACUUUUUGUGUUAUAUUCAUUACCAUAUGUGCAAUUGUCAAUUCAUGGUGGGGACAGACCAUUGUUAAUUGUUGGUCUCGGUCUUAACUAGGAAUGCCUUGUACGGGUCUUUGGUUCAACAAACCACCCGGAAUACGUCCCUGCCCUUUGUACACACCGCCCGUCGCUCUUACCGAUGGACUUCUCUGUGAGUUUGAGGGACUGGGAACGCACAUAUUUGCUUUAUUGCAUUUUUUGCACGCCUAUGGAAACUUAAACGAACAGUGUGGUCUAAAGGAAAGAGAAGUCGUAACAAGGCAUCGGUAGGUGAACCUGCAGAAGGAUCA
Molecule: ribosomal RNA, 1138 nt
Filed under: Nonionellina labradorica
Lineage: Eukaryota; Foraminifera; Rotaliida; Nonionidae
Description: SSU rRNA
Rfam family: Eukaryotic small subunit ribosomal RNA
Source: RNAcentral